AUUGAACGCUGGCGGCAGGCCUAACACAUGCAAGUCGAGCGAGCGGCGGACGGGUGAGUAAUGUAUGGGGACUGCCCGCUAGAGGGGGGUAACUACUUGAAACGGUAGCCAAUACCGCCUACUAUCGGACAACCCAUAUGGGAUUAGAUAGUAGGUGAGGUAAUGGCGUACAUAGGCGACGAUCCCUAGCUGGUCUGAGAGGCUGAGCAGCCACACGGGAGCUGGGCCACGGCCCGAACUCCUAGGGAGGCGGCGGUGGGGAAUAUUGGACAAUGGGCGAAAGCCUGCUGCAGAACGGCCGCGUGGAUAAAGAAGGCCUCAGGGUUUAAAAGUACUUUCAUUCGGGAGGCGUUACCGACAGAAGAAGCACCGGCUAACUCCGUGCCAGCAGCCGCGGUAAUAC
Molecule: ribosomal RNA, 403 nt
Filed under: uncultured bacterium
Lineage: Bacteria
Description: partial 16S ribosomal RNA
Rfam family: Bacterial small subunit ribosomal RNA
Source: RNAcentral